UAAUUCCCGUUGAUCCUGCGGGAGAUUGCUGCUAUGGGAGUUCGACUAAGCCAUGCAAGUCAGAGGGCCUUUAUGGCACAGGCUGAAUGCUCAGUAACACGUCAAUAAUUUGCCCUUAGGUUUGGGACAGCCACGGGAAACUGUGGGUAAACCCGAAUAGGUAAUUGAUACUGGAAUGUACUUUUACUCAAAGUUUACGCCUAAGGAUGAGUUGGCGGCUGAUUAGUUUGUUGGUAGUGUAAAGGACUACCAAGACUA
Molecule: ribosomal RNA, 258 nt
Filed under: Candidatus Woesearchaeota archaeon
Lineage: Archaea; Nanobdellati; Candidatus Woesearchaeota
Description: partial 16S ribosomal RNA
Rfam family: Archaeal small subunit ribosomal RNA
Source: RNAcentral